Non-coding RNA from Erinaceus europaeus (western European hedgehog), 66 nucleotides. NCBI's taxonomy places the organism in Eukaryota, Metazoa, Chordata, Mammalia, Eulipotyphla, Erinaceidae. The record is from Ensembl.
GUAAAUAUAGUUUAUAAAAACAUUAGAUUGUGAAUCUAAAAUCAGAGCAUUAAUCUCUUAUUUACC